RNAcentral lists this ribosomal RNA (325 nucleotides) under uncultured eukaryote. Its description in RNAcentral is "partial 18S ribosomal RNA". It matches the Rfam family "Eukaryotic small subunit ribosomal RNA", at positions 1470 to 1796 of the family's 1831-position model. The record is from RNAcentral.
CCCUUAGAUGUCCUGGGCCGCACGCGCGUUACACUGAUGCAUUCAACGAGCUUAUAACCUUGGCCGAGAGGCCUGGGCAAUCUUGUUAACGUGCAUCGUGAUAGGGAUAGAUUAUUGAAAUUAUUAAUCUUGAACGAGGAAUUCCUAGUAAACGCAGAUCAUCAAUCUGCAUUGAUUACGUCCCUGCCCUUUGUACACACCGCCCGUCGCUCCUACCGAUCGAAGAGUUAGGUGAAUUGUUUUGAUCGAUAAGAUUUGACUAUGGUCAACUCUCGUUGGGAAAUUCUGUGAAUCUGACUGUUUAGAGGAAGGAAAAGUCGUAACA